This 495-nucleotide ribosomal RNA is filed under the name uncultured bacterium. Its description in RNAcentral is "partial 16S ribosomal RNA". It matches the Rfam family "Bacterial small subunit ribosomal RNA", at positions 28 to 507 of the family's 1533-position model. The record is from RNAcentral.
GACGAACGCUGGCGGCGUGCCUAAUACAUGCAAGUAGAACGCUGAAGGAGGAGCUUGCUUCUCUGGAUGAGUUGCGAACGGGUGAGUAACGCGUAGGUAACCUGCCCGGUAGCGGGGGAUAACUAUUGGAAACGAUAGCUAAUACCGCAUAAGAGUAGAUGUCGCAUGACAUUUGCUUAAAAGGUGCAAUUGCAUCACUACCAGAUGGACCUGCGUUGUAUUAGCUAGUUGGUGAGGUAACGGCUCACCAAGGCAACGAUACAUAGCCGACCUGAGAGGGUGAUCGGCCACACUGGGACUGAGACACGGCCCAGACUCCUACGGGAGGCAGCAGUAGGGAAUCUUCGGCAAUGGACGGAAGUCUGACCGAGCAACGCCGCGUGAGUGAAGAAGGUUUUCGGAUCGUAAAGCUCUGUUGUAAGAGAAGAACGAGUGUGAGAGUGGAAAGUUCACACUGUGACGGUAUCUUACCAGAAAGGGACGGCUAACUACGUG